UACGAAGGGGGCUAGCGUUGCUCGGAAUCACUGGGCGUAAAGCGCACGUAGGCGGAUUGUUAAGUCAGGGGUGAAAUCCUGGAGCUCAACUCCAGAACUGCCUUUGAUACUGGCGAUCUUGAGUCCGGGAGAGGUGAGUGGAACCGCGAGUGUAGAGGUGAAAUUCGUAGAUAUUCGCAAGAACACCAGUGGCGAAGGCGGCUCACUGGCCCGGUACUGACGCUGAGGUGCGAAAGCGUGGGGAGCAAACAGG
RNAcentral lists this ribosomal RNA (253 nucleotides) under uncultured bacterium. Its description in RNAcentral is "partial 16S ribosomal RNA". It matches the Rfam family "Bacterial small subunit ribosomal RNA", at positions 524 to 776 of the family's 1533-position model. The record is from RNAcentral.